AGCGAACGCUGGCGGCAGGCCUAACACAUGCAAGUCGAACGAACCUUUCGGGGUUAGUGGCGGACGGGUGAGUAACACGUGGGAACGUGCCUUUAGGUUCGGAAUAACUCAGGGAAACUUGUGCUAAUACCGAAUGUGCCCUUCGGGGGAAAGAUUUAUCGCCUUUAGAGCGGCCCGCGUCUGAUUAGCUAGUUGGUUGAGGUAAUGGCUCACCAAGGCGACGAUCAGUAGCUGGUCUGAGAGGAUGAUCAGCCACAUUGGGACUGAGACACGGCCCAAACUCCUACGGGAGGCAGCAGUGGGGAAUCUUGCGCAAUGGGCGAAAGCCUGACGCAGCCAUGCCGCGUGAAUGAUGAAGGUCUUAGGAUUGUAAAAUUCUUUCACCGGGGACGAUAAUGACGGGACCCGGAGAAGAAGCCCCGGCUAACUUCGU
This 433-nucleotide ribosomal RNA is filed under the name uncultured bacterium. RNAcentral's name for it is "partial 16S ribosomal RNA". It matches the Rfam family "Bacterial small subunit ribosomal RNA", at positions 29 to 506 of the family's 1533-position model. The record is from RNAcentral.